This 1524-nucleotide ribosomal RNA is filed under the name Triticum aestivum (bread wheat). RNAcentral's name for it is "partial small subunit ribosomal RNA". The record is from RNAcentral. Lineage: Eukaryota; Viridiplantae; Streptophyta; Magnoliopsida; Poales; Poaceae.
AUGCCACCGGAUGGCCACACGCGCAAGCAACCGACAACUCCGACUUUGACGACGAGCCUCACCAGUGAAAUAUGCAGGACUUGCGCCGACCAUGCCCUAAGAGCACCUCGGACACGCCGGGAAGAACCGUCUAUCGAAGUCCACGCCGCGACCCGAGCUCCUCUCGACGCCAUCAUCGUUGCCAAACAGAAACCAGCGCCCUGCCUCAGCAAACCACACGGCAAAGAUGCCGCCAACCACGGCGAAGAUGCCGCCAUCCACCAGUCUCCCAGUCGUAGCCGGCUCCGAGACGAUGCCCCCAAGGAGGAGAAAGACGCGAAGACGCCUCCAUCGCCCGAACCAGCGGAUCUGAGGUUUCCCUCCGAAGCCCAAGCCGUGGGGAGGAGGAGCACACCUUCACGACGACGCUUCCAAGAAAAAUCACGGCACCCUCGGGCACCGCCGUCGCCGGCUCCGAAGAAGGCCAGAGCAAAGAUUUCUCCCGAAGAUGCACCGACCACCCGCCACCACCGACCGCCGCCCACCCUCCACCACCUGCUGAGGCCGACCUCAUUCUGGCCGCGGGAUCCCACGAUCCACCGCGACCAGACACGCACCAUCCCCUGGCCGAAGCCGCCGUCCACCACCGCAGCACCACCAUGGCUACCACCACCGCAGCGACCAAAGCCACAUCGCGAAGCGCAGCAUCCAGAUCGAUGCACCUCGCAUCAGAUCCAAUCGGAGCUGCUCAGGCGAAGAAGCAGAGCAGCCAGCAGGCAGUCCCUCCAUAGCACACCUCGCACCCUAGACAAGCCCACCCGCCACGCUCAGCCGGUCACCCCGCCCGCCGCGCGCCUUCCGCCGUCGCGCCAGGCCGGUCACCGCGCCCCACGCGCACUAGCCAGAACCGAGCCGCCGCCGGGCGCACGCACGCCGUCCACGCCCAAGCCACGCUGGAGCCCGGGCCGAGGCCGCCGCCCCGGCGUCCCUUCCGCCGUCCGCAACCGACGCCAGAUGCGCGCCGCCGAGCCGUCACCCCACGGCGCCAGAGCCGCCGCUGCAGGCCGGCCACGCCUGCACACCACCAGAUCCGGGCGGGAGGGCCCUGGAUCCGUCGCCCCCGCCGGAGGAGAGGAGCUCCAGCCCGCCGGCGAAGGGCUCGCGACGACCAUGCGCUGGCGCCGCACGAGCCAGCCACGGGCUACCCGCGCCCUGGAGAAGAAGCCCCGCCGCCGCCGCUGCCACACGGGCUUUGCCCGGCGGAGCAUCCCGGCGGCGGCGAGGGGGGAGGACGACGGCGGAAGCCGCUGCCGUCAAUAUUAUUCUGCUCAUAAUCACUUACUUUUAGUUAGCACGAACACUUGUGAACUGUCUUACACACCGGCUACCUUUGACUGCCUGAUGAAGACCUAUGGAUUCCUCACCCCUGACUUCUGGAGGGAGACAACCUUCACCAAGGCGCCAUACCAGGAGUUCACCGACAUCUUGGUGAAGCCGACCAAGGCCCUGAUGCUUGAUGCACCAGUCGAGAAGAUAGAAGCUUAG